ACCUGAGUCGGUGGAGGGAUUCCGGGGCGCUGCUAUGGAGGGGUGUAGCGAGCCACAGCUGGAUGCUAAGGCCAAGGUCACCAACCAGGUGAGUGAGUGGCCAUCCCUCGCGGCCUCCGCCGGCCUCGGCUGGACAAGUGGCGGGCGGCUGCACCUGGUCCUCCGCCCGCCUCUGGCAGCCGCGGGACGAUGCCACCGUGAGCCUUCCCCAGCUCAACCCCAAAUCAAGGCCCAUGUCCGUGAGCCCGUGACUUUCCUCCCGCCACCCUGCAUUGCUCCUUCCACUUGGCUUCUGAGCUAAUAGAUUUUCAGUGGAAGCUGGGUGUGGCUGUGAGCUCAGACAGCUGCAGAUCACUUAAGUAUCCUUACGUUGCAGUGAUGCUCAAAGUGGCAGAUCAUUCAGGCCAAGUAAAGAACAAGUCCUUCGAAAUGACAAUUCCACAGUUUCAGAAUUUCUACAGACAGUUCAAGGAAAUUGCUGCAGUUAUUGAAACUGUGUGAAAACUGAUUACUUUGUUGAUGAAUUGCUACCAUCAUUCUAAAAUCAUGGACUUUACUUUCUGCAACAAAACUGCCUAAGGAUCAAAUGAUAUUUAUUGAAUGAAAAUUAUACUUUUGAUUUUCCAUUUUUUUAAAUAAUAAAAAAGAAAAUCAGACAAACAGGAAUUACAAAGUGGUGAUCGCUGCACACUUUGUGAAUAUACUAAGAGCCACUGAAUUGGAAACUUUAAAGGGUGAAGAACUCUGUGGUAUGUGAAUUAUAUCUUAAUGAAAAAUAAAUCAGACAAACAGUUGAAUGAUAUUAAAAGCAGCACAAGUUUAUGUAUUAGACCAAUAGUUUUAAAAAUUACUGGUAAUAUUACCCAUUUUAUAAACAAGCUCUUCCUUUUUAGCAUUCAUUUUUUUAUUGAUGUAUAGUUGAUUUACAAUAUUAUAUUAGUUUCAGAUGUACAACAUGGUAAUUCAAACUUUUUAGAGAUUAUACUCCAUUUAUGGUUAUUAUAAAGUAUUGGCUAUAUUCUUUGUGCUGUGCUGUACAAUGUAUCCUUGUAGCUUAUUUAUUUCUUUAUUACUUUUUUUAAAAAAUUAUUUAUUUAUUUUAUUUUAUUUUUGGCUGUGGUGGGUCUUCGUUGCUGCACGUGGGCUUUUCUCUAGUUGCGGUGAGUGGGGGCUCCUCUUCGUUGUGUGGGCUUCUUGUUGCGGUGGCUUCUCUAGUUGCAGAGCCCAGGCUCUAGGUGCUCAGGCUUCAGUAGUUGUGGCACUCGGGCUCAGUAGUUGUGGCACACGGGCUUAAUUUCUCCACAGCAUGUGGGAUCUUCCCGGACCAGGGCUCGAACCCGUGUCCUCUGCAUUGGCAGGUGGAUUUUUAACCACUGUUCCACCAAGGAAGCCCCAAUAGUCUUUAUUUUAAAGUCUAUUUUAUCUGAUACGAGUGUUGCUACUCCAGCUUUCUUUUGAUUUCCAUUUGCAUGGAAUGUCUUUUUCCAUCCCUUCACUUUCAGUCUGUAUGUGUUCCAAGGUCUGAAGUGGGUCUCUUGUAGACAGCAUAUAUAGAGGUCUUUUUUUUGUAUCCAUUCAGCCAGUCUGUGUCUUUUGGUUGGGGCAUUUAAUCCAUUUACAUUCAAGGUUAUUAUCAAUACGUAUGUUCCUAUUACCAUUUUCUUAAUUGUUUUGGGUUUGUUUUUGUGGGUCCUUUUCUUUUCUUGCAUUUCCUGCCUAGAGAAGUUUCUUUACCAUUUGUUGUAAAGCUGGUUUUGUGGUGCUGAAUUCUCUUAGCUUUUGCUUGUCUGAAAAGCUUUUGACUUCUCCAUCGAAACUGAAUGAGAUCCUUGCUGGGUAGAGUAAUCUUGGUUGUAGGUUUCUCUUUCAUCACUUUAAGUAUAUUCUGCCACUCCCUUCUGGCCGGCAGAGUUUCUGCUGAAAAAUCAGCUGAUAACCUUAUGGGGAUUCCUUUGUAUGUUAUUUUUUGUUUUUCCCUUGCUGCUUUUAAUAUUUUUUUCUUGAAUUUAAUUUUUGUUAGUUUGAUUAAUAUGUGUCCUGGUGUGUUUUUCCUAGGGUUUAUCCUGUAUGGGAGUCUCUUUUUCCUGGACUUAGGUGACUAUUUCCUUUCCCAUGUUAGGGAAGUUUUCGACUAUAAUCUCUUCAAAUAUUUUCUUAGACCCUUUCUUUUUCUCUUCUUCUUCUGGGACCCCUAUAAUUCGAAUGUUGAUGCGUUUAGUGUUGUCCCAGAAGUCUCUGAGACUGUCUUCAAUUCUUUUCAUUCUUUUUUCUUUAUUCUGCUCCUUGGCAGUUAUUUCCACCGUUUUGUCUUCCAGCUCACUUAUUUGUUCUUCUGCCUCAGUUACUCUGUUAUUGAUUCCUUCUAGUGUAUUUUUAUUUCAGUUAUUGUGCUGUUCAUCUGUUUGUUUGUUCUUUAGUUCUUCUAGAUCUUUGUUAAACAUUUCUUCUAUGUUCUCAAUCUAUGCCUCCAUUCUGUUUCCGAGAUUCUGGACCAUCUUACUGUCAUUACUCUGAAUUCUUUUUCAGGUAGGUUGCCUAUUUCCUGUUCAUUUAUUUGGUCUUGUAGGUUUUUACCUUGCUCCUUCAUCUGUGACAUAUUAUUUUGCUGUCUCAUUUUCUUUUUUUUUUUUAAUGAGUGGGAUUGUGUUCCUGUCUUACUGGUUGUUUGGCCUCAGGCUUCCAACACUGGAAUUUUUAGGCUGUUGAGUAGAGCUGGGUCUUGGUACUGAGAUGAGGAACUCCGUGAGACCUCACUCCAUUGAAUAUUCCCUGGGGUCUUUCUGUUAGUUCAGUGGUUCAGACUUGGAGCUCCCACUGCAGGAGCUUUGGCCCAACCCCCCGGCUCAUGAACCAAGAUCCCUCAAUGUGCAUGGGGUGG
Phocoena sinus (vaquita) is the source of this 2878-nucleotide long non-coding RNA. Lineage: Eukaryota; Metazoa; Chordata; Mammalia; Artiodactyla; Phocoenidae. The record is from Ensembl.